RNAcentral lists this unclassified non-coding RNA (379 nucleotides) under uncultured bacterium. RNAcentral's name for it is "contains 16S-23S intergenic spacer region". The record is from RNAcentral.
UCACGUCUUACGACGGCAGUUUCACUAGAGUUCCCAGCGUUACCUGAUGGCAACUAAGGGUGAGGGUUGCGCUCGUUGCGGGACUUAACCCAACAUCUCACGACACGAGCUGACGACGGCCAUGCAGCACCUGUCACCUGGCUCCCGAAGGCACCCCAUGAUCUCUCACGGGUCCCAGGGAUGUCAAGCCUCGGUAAGGUUCUACGCGUAGCGUCAUGUUAAACCACAUCCUCCUCUGCUUGUGCGGGUCCCCGUCAAUUCCUUUGAGUUUUAACCUUGCGGUCGUACUUCCCAGGCGGCAUACUUAUCGCGUUAGCUGCGACGCACAGGGGGUCGAUACCCCAUACGUCUAGUAUGCAUCGUUUACGGCGUGGACUAC